Molecule: long non-coding RNA, 305 nt
Organism: Mangifera indica (mango)
Lineage: Eukaryota; Viridiplantae; Streptophyta; Magnoliopsida; Sapindales; Anacardiaceae
Exons: 2
Source: RefSeq, a predicted model, not a curated record
UCAUAUGUAAAGUACUUAAAAAUAUAUAAACGAAGUUUUAUUCUUUGCGUAGCAUAUGAAUUAGUUUCUUGGUCUGAUUGUAGCUAGCAUCUUCUAAAAAAUGCUAGACAAACGGCAUAGUGCUUACCUGUAAUAAUGAAACAAACAGUAUAGCAAUCAGCUGGAAUCAAUUAAAGAAGAAGAAAACAGAUAGGGAACAGAACAAAAAGAGGCAAUCAAAUUUUAAUGAAGCCACUCAUGUCAUUACAAUCCUUGAUAAUAAUUACAAGAUUCCAAUAAAUUUAUUCUUAAAGGGGAUUUUAACU